CACUCCCAGUCCCAGAGAGUCAGCCUAUAGUACACAGUGAGGCAGGCUCGCCCGCCGCCCACUUCAGCACUAGUCGUUGGGUAUUGGCUGCCAGCCCAGGAGAGGAUCGGUCGCGUGGGACUCCCCAACUCUGCUUAUUUGCUAUACACAAGUGACUAAACUGGAGAUAGAGCCAGCAGCUUGGUUCACAAGACCGGAUAUACACACGCCUGCUCACCUUAAAGCUGGCUGUGAUAUAGUCAAUUGAUAUGACUAUCAAACUAAGGCAACAUUGGGCAGAUCCAUCCAUUUGGAGGGAGAGCUGAACAACAAGAUUAACGUGUCUCUUUUCUGAUGAACACACCUGAAAGCCAAUUGGCCAAGAAGAUUUAGAAGUACGGAUCAAGAGUCUUCAGUGGCACUAUACUGAGGUUGCUUUCAGGGCACUUUAUUGUCUGCACAGAAUAUCCUGACAGAUGAAAUGAGAGAGCUGUUUUCACAGAUGAAACCAGUGAGGAGCGGAUCAUGUCUGCUCUGUGUUCUCUCCAGUUGUGAAAGUGAAGACAUUAUUGCUAUUCUAUACUGCUGACUUUUAUAAAAAAAAAUUUACAUAAUAAAGGA
Molecule: long non-coding RNA, 600 nt
Organism: Pseudophryne corroboree (corroboree frog)
Lineage: Eukaryota; Metazoa; Chordata; Amphibia; Anura; Myobatrachidae
Exons: 4
Source: RefSeq, a predicted model, not a curated record